ACCCGCUGAAUUUAAGCAUAUAAGUAAGCGGAGGAUAAGAAACUAAAAAGGAUUCCCUUAGUAAUGGCGAAUGAACAGGGAUGAGCUCAAUAUGGAAAUUGUGGCUUCUGGCUUUGAAUUGUAAUCUCAAGAUGCAUUGCUAACUGGGGCGUAGGUGAAAGCCUCUUGGAAAAGAGAAUCAUUGAGGGUGAGAAUCCUGUUUGUCAUCUACAGUCCUCCGUGUACGGCAUGCGUUCUAAGAGUCACGUUCCUCGGGAUUGGAGCGCAAACUGGGUGGUAAAUUUCAUCUUAAGCUAAAUAAGGGUUCGAGACCGAUAGCAAACAAGUACCAUGAGGGAAAGAUGAAAAGGACUUUGAAAAGAGAGUUAAAAGUGCCUGAACUUGCUGAAAGGAAAGCGGAUGGAACCAGUGUUGCUUGGCGAGAUUGUUGCGUGCGAAAGUGAUUGCUUGCUGCAUCAGCGCAAGCGGUGCUGUGGGUUUUGAUCUGGCUGUGCGCGAUGCUUCUUGCCUCGUGUGUCAUCGUCAGUGUGCUGGUGAGGACAACUCUUGGGACAUGGUAGCCUGCCCCUGGGCGUGCGAAUGUGCCUUGCAGAACUCACUGUCAUAUUGCUCCUCCACAUGUGAGGUCGUGCUGCCUUUCUUUGGCACCUGUGUUGGCGUUUGUGCCUGGCCUAGGUGUCGUUUGCUGAGCACCUUCCUGACAUAGCCAUGGUGACUAAAUGGUUCUAUUCGACCCGUCUUGAAACACGGACCAAGGAGUCUAACAUGUGUGCGAGUUCUUGGGCGGCGAAACCUACGUGCGCAAUGAAAGUGAUUACUGAGAUGCUAGCAUCAGCAGCCGACCGAUCAAUUGGGAGAGGUUUGAGCAUGAGCAUAUCUGUUAGGACCCGAAAGAUGGUGAACUAUGCUUGUGAAGGGUGAAGU
Molecule: ribosomal RNA, 924 nt
Filed under: Gymnodinium aureolum
Lineage: Eukaryota; Dinophyceae; Gymnodiniales; Gymnodiniaceae
Description: eukaryotic LSU rRNA
Rfam family: Eukaryotic large subunit ribosomal RNA
Source: RNAcentral